RNAcentral lists this long non-coding RNA (497 nucleotides) under Neodiprion pinetum (white pine sawfly). Its description in RNAcentral is "uncharacterized LOC124216169". The record is from RNAcentral. Lineage: Eukaryota; Metazoa; Arthropoda; Insecta; Hymenoptera; Diprionidae.
CUCCGUGGUUCCUGCGCUCCGGGUCCGCUACCUGGUGAAACUCGACUUCCGGGACAAGUGCUCCGUGGUCCCUGUGCUCCAGGUCCGCUACCUGGUGAAACUCGACUUCAGGGACACGCGCUCCGUAGUUUCUGUGCUCAAGGUCAACUACCUGGUGAAACUUGACAUCCAGGACGGGCGCUCCGUGGUUCAUGCGCUCCAGGUCCGUUAGCCGGUGUAACUCGACUUCAGGGAGAGGAUGAGGAGGACGAGGAGGUUGAGCAAGACGGGGAGAACAACAAGAAGGAGGUGAUUUAAGCUGGUUUGCGGUCGUUGGAUUUGUGCACGUAUUCGUGGUAUAACCCAACGUGGUUAACGGUGGUUGUUGGAGGUGGUUGGCGGUGGUUGGAGGUGGUCGGACGUGGUUAGGGGUGGUUGCGGCUGAUCGAGGUAGACGAGGAGGAGCAAGACAAGGAGGACGAGGAGAACAAGGUGGACGAGGAGGACGAGGAUUUCUG